AUUGAACACCCCAGCAUGCAACAAGCAGUGUUCACUAUUAAACUGUGACACUCACUCUAAACGGAAGCUAAACUGAGGAUGUAGCAGAGACUCUAUAUUUAGACUGUCAGAGUCGGGGGGAUGAAUUCGGAUUAGCAUGUAAGUCAGAGUUUUGAAUGAACCAAGCCGUCCUCUGUGGCGCAACACUGAUACAUAGAACAGACACCAGGGCACAGACACAGACAGGAUCACACACACUGAGCUACAGACGGGACGACAGGCAAACACACGGUUGCCUUUAGCACCCUGUUCAAUAGGUUGCUCUGCUCCAACAUCACACUCACAUCACACAUCAACAUGUUCAGCUAAGAAGUCAAGUAAAUGUUAAUUGAAGGUCAUUUCAAGUUUUUUGUCACAACUGAAGGAAAUGGUUUUCCAAUCUGGAUAUAUUUUUUAUUUAUUUUUAUUUUACCAUGUAAGUUGACUGAGAACACAUUCUCAUUUACAGCAACAACCUGGGGAAUAGUUUUCAGGGGAGAGAGAUGAAUGAGCCAAUUGUAAGCUGGGGAUGAUUAGGUGGCUGUGAUGGUAUGAGGGCCAGAUUGGGAAUUUAGCCAGGACACUGGGGUUUACUCUUACGAUAAGUGCAAUUGGAUCUUUAAUGACCUCAGAGAGUCAGGACACCCGUUUAACGUCCCAUCCAAAAGACAGUACCCUACACAGGGCAGUGUCCUGGGGCAUUUUUUAGGCCAGAGGAAAGAGUACCUCCUACUGGCCCUCCAACAGCACUUCCAGCAGCAUCAGGUCUCCCAUCCAGGGACUGACCAGGACCAACCCUACAUAGCUUCAGAAGCAAGCCAGCAGUGGGAUGCAGGGUGGUAUGCUGCUGACAAUAUUAUGUGAUGAUUAUAUAUUAUUAUAUUAUAUAACAUGAUUUUAAAGUUGAUAUUAAAAUCAAAAAUGACUCAUUCUGAUAAAUCAAGGCUGUUAAUGUAAAUGAGAACUCAAUUGAGGCGUAAGUGAAGUGUACACGCUCAAAUCAUCACAUAUGAAGAUUGUUAAAGACAUUGGAUGACAAAGACGCUGGAGAGACAACAUAGAUAACAUGUUAAGAAUAACACUUGAAAAAAACGCCACAUCAAAUUCAUUAGCAACCUCAGACAGCUGAUAUGCACAUAAUAAAGACAGGUUUCUAUGAACACCUGGAGUUAGUCACUGAUUGAGACACAUUUUAAGAUAAAAACAUUGUAAUUAGAUGAAGAGCAACAUUCACAAACACUUUUGGAGGGAAACCAUGGACAAACAACAGGAAGAUGAUAUGUAUCCCAGUGGACAAUUUACAAUGGAAUGACUGAAAACAAACAACAGCAGGCGAAGAGGAGUCUAGCGAGCCCCAGACUGAGACAUCACUUUAACAUCAGACACGAAAGUCAUGAGAUGAACACAGUAAGAAAUGCAGAGAUAAAGAAAUGAACACUUUACCCUUGUUUGCAGAUUGGAUAGACUUUCUGUCCAGUACCGGGCAACCAAUACUUUUUGUUCCAGGAGCCAGAGGACUCACACUUUUAGUAGACUGUCCUCCUACAGGGCCCAGACCUUUGGACCCUGUCCAGUCUGGCACCCCAGCAGAAGGGCCUUUUGCACCUUGUCCAGCAGGUACAUAGCUUUUAGAUGCCUGCCCUUCUAUUGCAACAGGGCCAAAAUGUUUGGCUCCCGGUCCAUCUGGUAUCGUAGGUCUAUAGUGUUUGGCUCCCUGUCCAUCUGGUAUCAUAGGUCUAUAGUUUUUGGCUCCCUGUCCAUCUGGUAUCGUAGGUCUAUAGUUUUUGGCUCCCUGUCCAUCUGGUAUCGUAGGUCUAUAGUGUUUGGCUCCCUGUCCAUCUGGUAUCGUAGGUCUAUAGUGUUUGGCUCCCUGUCCAUCUGGUAUCGUAGGUCUAUAGUGUUUGGCUCCCUGUCCAUCUGGUAUCGUAGGUCUAUAGUUUUUGGCUCCCUGUCCAUCUGGUAUCGUAGGUCUAUAGUUUUAGGCUCCCUGUCCAUCUGGUAUCGUAGGUCUAUAGUUUUGGCUCCCUGUGCUACAGGACCAAUACUUUUGCCCUCUUUCCCAACAGGCACCUGAGGUUCUAGACUUUUAGCCGCCUGUGACUCUGGGACCACAGAACCAACACCUUCGGAGCCCUGUGGCUGCUGAGCUACUGGACCUGUGCUUCUGGUGCCGCAGGACCAAGACUUUUGGCCUCUUUCCUAAUGGGUAUCUGAGGUCCUAGGCUUUUAGCCCCCUGUGUAUGGGAUGCCACAGGACCAGAACUUUUGACCCCUUUGCCAUUUGGAGCUGCCGGUCCAAAACCUUUGGCCCCCUGUGUCUGCUGAGCUACGGGACCAGAACUCUUGGCCUCCUUUCCCAGUGGAGCUGCAGGUCCAUAGCUUUUGGCUCCCUGUGCUUGAAGAACAACAGGAUAAGGGCUUUUGGGCCCCUUCACAUCUAGCAAUGCAGCAGGUCCUUGGCUUUUUGCUCCUGUUAAAUCCUGUGCCACUAGACCUUCACCCUUAUUACCCUUUCCAGCACCUCCCAAACCUCCCGCAGAGGCACCUGGCAGAAAAAAGCUUGUCACCAUUCACUAUUGAAUUCUUUGGGACCUGGAGAAGGCUCAGAUCGUAUGCAUAUCCCAUUGGCACACUAAUGGCUGAGGGCAGAAGACUUUCACAAUAAUUAACUAUUGGCAUUUACAGAUCUUUUUUGUUAGAAAAAGUUUUUCACGUUUUUCUUUUUUACUGCAAAAACUGAGACAAGCCUUAAAGGUAUAGAUUUCAGGACUUUAUCUACUUCUCCAGAGUCAGAUGAACUCGUGGAUACCAUUUUUAUGUCUGCGUCCAGUAUGAAGGAAGUUAGAGGUAGUUUUGCGAGUCAAUGUAAACUAGCAUUAGCGAAAAGACUGGAAGUCUUCGAGAUCAGCUAGCAUUCUUCCUUUAUACCUCUAACGUCCUUCAUACUGGACACAGAGACAUACAUUUUUAACCACAAGUUAA
RNAcentral lists this long non-coding RNA (3000 nucleotides) under Salmo salar (Atlantic salmon). RNAcentral's name for it is "lncRNA (ENSSSAG00000109937.1)". The record is from RNAcentral. Lineage: Eukaryota; Metazoa; Chordata; Actinopteri; Salmoniformes; Salmonidae.